RNA transcript from Hyla sarda, 2314 nucleotides. It is a transcript of the gene named phosphatidylinositol 4-kinase type 2 alpha, with no coding region annotated. The record is from RefSeq and is a predicted model, not a curated record. NCBI's taxonomy places the organism in Eukaryota, Metazoa, Chordata, Amphibia, Anura, Hylidae. The transcript has 11 exons.
CGUCAUCGGACUAGAGCCCACUCUGCCUUUGGUAGCGACAGUGGGCGGGACUAGUCAGUUUCCACGCCCCUGUCCACUCCCAUUGGCUGAAGGUCCCGGAAGUUUGCAGUAGCUUGUGAGUCAGCUGGUUGUCACCUGCCUCCGUCCCCCGCGGCUGUCACUUGUUCCCCGCCCCUCCCCGGGUGUCUGUCAUGGAUGAGAGCAGUCCGCUGUUGUCUCCGGUGCAGGACCACCCGGUGUCCCCGGUACCGCUUAGCCCCGCCGCCCGUCCGCACCUGGUGCCCGGGGUGGUGGUUCGGAUCCCGCAGAGUGCCCCCAUACCUUCCCCGCCCGGAUCCCCCACGGAGAGGGAGAGGCAGCCGCUCCUGGAGCGCUCCCAGCACCGGGACAGGAACUGCUUCCCGGAGGAGCCGGAGUUCGCGGAGGUGGUGAAGAGGGCAGAGCGGGCGAUCAGCCGAGGGAUCUUCCCGGAGAGGAUCUACCAGGGAUCCAGCGGGAGCUACUUCGUGAAGGACGAGCAGGAGGAAAUCAUUGCCGUCUUCAAGCCAAAAACAGAGGAGCCAUACGGUCAGCUGAACCCCAAGUGGACAAAGUGGCUGCAGAAGCUGUGCUGCCCCUGCUGUUUCGGGAGGGACUGUCUUGUUCUGAACCAAGGAUAUCUCUCCGAAGCCGGAGCCAGUUUAGUAGACCAAAAACUGGAGCUGAAUAUUGUCCCCCGCACUAGGGUUGUUUAUUUAGCCAGUGAAACUUUCAAUUACAGCGCUAUAGACCGGGUGAAGUCCAGGGGGAAGCGGCUUGCGCUGGAGAAAGUGCCAAAAGUCGGUCAACGGUUUAACCGGGUUGGAUUGCCUCCCAAGGUUGGCUCCUUCCAGCUGUUUGUGAAAGGCUAUAAGGAUGCAGAUUAUUGGCUACGGAGGUUUGAGGCGGAACCGCUUCCAGAAAAUACCAAUAGACAACUACAGCUACAGUUCGAGCGGCUGGUGGUUUUAGAUUACAUAAUCCGAAAUACAGAUCGGGGGAACGACAAUUGGCUGAUAAAGUACGACUAUCCCAUGGAGAACGCAGCGUCCAGGGAUUCAGAUUGGGUCUUGGUCAAAGAACCCAUCAUCAAGAUUGCCGCCAUAGACAAUGGGUUAGCCUUCCCCCUCAAGCAUCCCGAUUCCUGGAGAGCCUAUCCUUUCUACUGGGCCUGGUUACCACAAGCCAAAGUUCCGUUUUCCCAGGAGAUCAAAGAACUCAUCCUCCCAAAAAUCUCAGACCCCAAUUUUGUCAAAGAUUUGGAAGAAGAUCUCUAUGAGCUUUUUAAGAACCAUUGGCGACUGCAAUUAGGGAAGAAAAAGAUGUGGUUGACUUUAGAAUUAAAGAAAGAUCCAGGCUUUGACAGAGGACAGUUCCACAAGCAGAUCGCUGUUAUGAGGGGUCAGAUCCUUAACUUGGCUCAGGCACUUAAGGAUGAGAAGAGUCCCCUGCAGUUAGUCCAGACUCCUCCCGUGAUAGUGGAAACGGCGCGGUCCCAUCAGAAGAGCAGCAGCGAGUCCUACACACAGAGCUUCCAGAGCCGCAAGCCAUUCUUUUCCUGGUGGUAGUUACUGAAAAUUGUUCACUUCACCGGGAAAGGCCCAAAAAAAAAAAAGGUGUCAAUGUGCAGCUGUAAAGCCGCUUCUUGGACCUUUUUUAAAUGAGGAAAAAAAAAACUUUAUGGAAAACUGACGAAAGGAGAGAGAGAAGGUCUGGAUGAUGGGAGCACCGUAAUAAAUGACUGACUGACGGUCUCAGUGCCAUGGAAUGUACGUCCGGCCUAUUCCUGGGGCAUGCACGUGGCAUUGGGGACACUAUUCAGCACCGUGUGCAGUCACAAAAGAAGCCAACGUGAAGCUUUUCCCUAUAACUCUAUUACCGAAUCCAUCCAAGAAGUGUAAAAAACCUCUACACCACCCAAUAUUGUACUACGUCUAGCACCCGUGAUAUCUGGAACUUAUAGAUCCCUUGGAUCUGAAAGUCCACGGGUCACACCUGAAAUAACCUAGGCAUGCACGCUAAGAACGCAAUGAAAUAGCUAGAACUAAACUACCACGUAGGUAUUAAUUUUAACGUGUGCAUGUUGGAGACCACUGUUCUAGAUUAUUAAAACAGAAUACUGUACAGCCUGCCACCUAAUGGAUGCCAAGGGUAUCGCUAGAGAUGAGCGAACUUACAGUAAAUUCGAUUCGUCACGAACUUCUCAGCUCGGCGGUUGCUGACUUUUCCUGCAUAAACUAGUUCAGCUUUCCGGUGCUCCGGUGGGCUGGAAAAGGUGGAUACAGUCCUAGGAAAG